This 496-nucleotide unclassified non-coding RNA is filed under the name Hevea brasiliensis (rubber tree). Lineage: Eukaryota; Viridiplantae; Streptophyta; Magnoliopsida; Malpighiales; Euphorbiaceae. The record is from RNAcentral.
GAUUUCUUUGAUAUCCUUCGGAAAUGUCCUGUAUCUAUAUGAUUUUAUAAGUUUUCAAGGCUUUGAAUUCCUGCUUUAUCCUAGAACCGACCAACAUACAUCAUUAUUUGUCCUUAUACAAAGAAUGUUUUUCUUGUAUUUGCACUGUAAUUUAAAUCAAUUCACUUUGGUUUUAAUAGAAAUAAUGGGUCACCAAGGUCGUAAACAAAAUCUAUCAAAUGCUGUGAAAAAUAUCUUGAUCCCACUUUCAAGAAUUGUUGUGAGCAUCAUUUUUUUUUCUGCUUAUGAUUUGGAUGGGAUAUUCCUUUCUUUUUUUGUUUUUCAUUAUCCUGUUAGGAAUUGCUAAAUUAGGUUCCAUGUAUUAUUUUGCGUCAAAUUCUGUUGAUAUGGAUUUCAUAUUUCCCAUUUCUGUUUAAGCAGUUUUACUUUGCUUUUUAUUUUGUCCUUGGCUUCUGUUUUUGUGUCAGUGGCUUGUGUUGUCGCAUGAUCGAUAGUU